Molecule: long non-coding RNA, 1033 nt
Organism: Epinephelus fuscoguttatus (brown-marbled grouper)
Lineage: Eukaryota; Metazoa; Chordata; Actinopteri; Perciformes; Serranidae
Exons: 4
Source: RefSeq, a predicted model, not a curated record
UUGAACUGAACUGAAUAAACGUCCGCCCCCUACAAUACCAGAGCAGCGAUACACAUUGGUCAAGCGGAAAGUUGGUCACAUGCCCUCUAGUGGCGGGAUAGCGUGUUGCAUAUCCGACCAAGAACUGACUGAACUUUAGUAUUGCUGCGUUGCUGCUGACCAGGAAUUCUUGUGCGUUUCCAAAGUCAAGCAAACCUAAAAGCAUAAUCUACUAUAAUCUACCGUAAUAGGAGCAAUAUUAACACACAGUGGUCAUUAAUUGCUGUGUCAUGAAUGCCUGCUGUUUUAAUAAUGAUAUAGCCUACUUUCAAGUGGCUUCACAUCUCUCUCAUUGGCUAACGUGUUAAGCAAGUUUGUGCGCUAAAUUUACUUGUGUUUGUGUUACGUUAGCCAAACUCUGUCAUUGUCUUUAUUAUUGGCCCAAUGGCCCUUCAUCUCAAUAUUAAUUCAUUGGCUGAAUGGAUUUACAGAAGCGCCUUCUCCACCCCCACCAUCUCUAUGCAGGAGAAUACAGACUAUUUGCAGAGAGGGCCAACUACUAAUUUCAGCAGAAAGGACCCCAGCACCAUUCAGAAGAUUAAAGAGACCCUGAAUUUGAUGAGAAAUCAACACUUUGAGAGCUGAACAUCAAUGAUCUGUGGACAGUUUGGCAGUGGGAUGAGAAGGUGAUAGACCACUACACUAUGUUUACUGCAUGACGACCACUUCAUUGAUUGUGAAACUUCCAAUCAGUGAGGAUUCUCUUGACUUCCUAGUCGACCCAGCUAAAGACGCGUGAACAGAACCUGACCCCUGUUCCAAAGGAUGCAUUCCUACCACUUUGAGCAGAAUUCAGCAGACCUGGACAAGCGGCUAUCUGAUGGAAUACGCCCACUCAACACAGCUGAUUUAGAGAGAUACGGAGACCAGACUUACUUUGAGGAGAUCAAGCAGUUUUACUAGAGAGAUGAAUUCAGCCACCAGGUCCAGGAGUGGAACAUGCAGUGCACCCUUGUCAUUGAACGCUGCAGCAAUGAUGAUGACAUCCUGCUUC